RNAcentral lists this transfer RNA (68 nucleotides) under Loxodonta africana (African savanna elephant). It matches the Rfam family "tRNA". Rfam says of the family: Transfer RNA (tRNA) molecules are approximately 80 nucleotides in length. Their secondary structure includes four short double-helical elements and three loops (D, anti-codon, and T loops). Lineage: Eukaryota; Metazoa; Chordata; Mammalia; Proboscidea; Elephantidae. The record is from Rfam by way of RNAcentral.
CUGGGUGGGGCAAAUGGUUAAUGUUUUUAGCUGCUAACUAAAAGGUUGGAGGUUCAAGUCCACCCAGA